UACGUAGGGGGCAAGCGUUAUCCGGAUUUACUGGGUGUAAAGGGAGCGUAGACGGCGAUGCAAGUCUGAAGUGAAAGGCGGGGGCCCGACCCCCGGACUGCUUUGGAAACUGUAUAGCUGGAGUGCAGGAGAGGUAAGUGGAAUUCCUAGUGUAGCGGUGAAAUGCGUAGAUAUUAGGAGGAACACCAGUGGCGAAGGCGGCUUACUGGACUGUAACUGACGUUGAGGCUCGAAAGCGUGGGGAGCAAACAGG
This 253-nucleotide ribosomal RNA is filed under the name uncultured bacterium. RNAcentral's name for it is "partial 16S ribosomal RNA". It matches the Rfam family "Bacterial small subunit ribosomal RNA", at positions 524 to 776 of the family's 1533-position model. The record is from RNAcentral.